Molecule: non-coding RNA, 386 nt
Organism: Salvelinus sp. IW2-2015
Lineage: Eukaryota; Metazoa; Chordata; Actinopteri; Salmoniformes; Salmonidae
Source: RefSeq, a predicted model, not a curated record
ACUAUCGCAAACUGUUUGACUUGAAAAAAUACAAAACAUAUUUUUAUUAAAGAGCAGUUUGGGAGCCAAAAAGAGUCGGACUGCCCACAACAACAGCCCCCUAAAUCAUAUCUGACUUUCUGAUUUGUAAAUUCACUGCAGUUCCCAACAUUGACCAGCAGGUGGCAAUGAUAGUCUCUUCUCAGACAGUAAAUGACCACCAGUCAGCUACAUUUAUUUUGUUAGGAGGGGAUGGAAAAGCAUUGAGACUAUUUGUCAUAGAAGCAAUUUCACUCAUUUACUCAUGUGAAUGGGUCCAAAGAGAUAAGAGAAGCUAAUAUUGAUAGGCACUGUUAAAUCUUUACAGCUCAGGAUAAUAUGACUAUAAUUAAAGAACAUCACUACCA